This 468-nucleotide long non-coding RNA is filed under the name Nilaparvata lugens (brown planthopper). RNAcentral describes it as "uncharacterized LOC120349440". The record is from RNAcentral. Lineage: Eukaryota; Metazoa; Arthropoda; Insecta; Hemiptera; Delphacidae.
AUAAUUUUAUUUGCUAUGCAGGUCCUCUGCAUUUCAUAAAGAUUGAUUUUAAUUUAAAUUUAAUAGCUCAAGUACUGAAACUUUAUGAUUUUUGUUUUACAGGCAGCUUGGACUUCUUCCAGUCCUAUCUGAAACAAAACUAUGGCCACAUCGAGAUGGCUGGUUUAGCAGCAGAAGUCACCACAGAGGGUCAUGUGUGGACUACUGAUGCAACAAAAGUGAAAUUUAUUUGGGAUUAAAAGUUAACAGACCGUUGUGCAACCCGGUGAUAAUCUUGUAUUAAAGGAAGUUCUUAUGUAGCAAGCACAAGUUAUGAAGUUGGUAAAGGCUAUUAUUAUUAAUUACAUCAGAUGACUUUUGUUGCUGCAAGGGUGUCGACCAUGUUCAUCUACUGAAGCUGCAAUGACAUCCACUAUCUCAUAGAAUGUUCUAUGAGCAGUACUUUGAGAAAAAUUAUAUCUGUCAUCA